Molecule: long non-coding RNA, 611 nt
Filed under: Felis catus (domestic cat)
Lineage: Eukaryota; Metazoa; Chordata; Mammalia; Carnivora; Felidae
Description: lncRNA (ENSFCAG00000046130.2)
Source: RNAcentral
AGUAAAUGUGAGCUGAGCCCUAAAUGAAAGCGCGCUCAAACCCUUGGGACUGUUCCGUUCCGAGUCAACAUAUUCCCUCUCUAUAAACGUAUUAGGAUUGGGUUUGAUGUUUUUUUGUAACCACCUUUGGCAGACUCCCUGAACUUAAUAGGUUUAAACAAUGUUUUAAAGGUAAACAUCUAGUGGCUUGGAUAUAGAAACCUGCCCAUUUGCAAACAGACUCACUGGCAAACAGCUGGACAGACUGCCUUAUCCAGAGAAGAAUUCGAAUCCUUGGCUUCGACUUGAGCCAUUGAAAGAGAACAAGGCAUCGGUGACCAUGAAAAGCAGCCUGAAGCUAUUUUAAAGUGUUAUCGUCAAGGGUGAUUGGAGAACGCCUCCCUGGGCAGAGAAGUGAAGGAAAAAGUGAGCCAUAUGGUCGUCAGAGGUCAAGAAGAACAGCAUUCUCCGACGGGGCAACGAUGAGACCUUUGACAUGUAAUUGGAGAAAGCAAGCAAGCCAAUAGAACCGUAACAGUGUGAUCCCCAGGACAAGUGAACAUGCGGUGCGCAUGGAGAGAGAAUAGUUAUAUGGAGGUGGGGCUAUGUGGAGCCCUGAAGGUCAGGGUAAG